RNAcentral lists this long non-coding RNA (1661 nucleotides) under Mus musculus (house mouse). RNAcentral's name for it is "long non-coding RNA chr9:14331440-14333101". Lineage: Eukaryota; Metazoa; Chordata; Mammalia; Rodentia; Muridae. The record is from RNAcentral.
AGAAAGAAUGUUAGAGAGUCUAUGGUCUUUAGUAUUAAAAUGUUGCUUACAGGUACCACUGAGUUAAAUGUAUACAUUAUAUCCAGAAGAAACCAGAUUUCUUAAUUGAUCUUUACAAACUUUAACUGGCUCUCCCAGUCUGUAAAAGGACAAAAAGUACAAUGAAAGAAAUGUAUCAGCUGGGUGGCGGAAGAUUUUUCCUUUAUAAAGCAGAGACUGUCUCUUUCCUGAUUCUCACUGCUGUCCCAAAAUACAGCCUGAGUUUAAUGGUACCCUGGCCACCAGGGAUGGUGACCCGAUGAUUUUACAUCUCCUGCAGACAUUUUGUUUGCAUUUGGAUGUCUCUGCAGGAGAGGAAGUAGGAUUUUUCCUUCCUCUUUCUCUUCACAUUUACUCUUUUACCCAAAACAAGAUGGACAUUGGAAGCAGAUCCCAGGCCACUUGGGCAUCUUCUUUAUACUAAUUGAAUAGACAUGCGUACAGGCUGGUCAAGGUAAACGAGAACCAUGUCAGGUCACCUUGGGAACAUGGCCUUGCCACUUGGCUCCGCUCCUGCAAACCUGAAAGAAACGUUCCUCAUCAUGGAAGAACUGGAUGUAGCUUUUAACUUAUGAAAUAGGAGGUGAACUUGAAAGCCCUUCUGAAUCCUGAUUGUGCAGAGCAGCUGCAUAAUGAAUGUACACAUGAAGACCGUAGCUGAACUGCACGAGUCAGAUGCCAACUUCAUGACUUUCCAUGUAGACGUUGUCUCCUUAAGUUGUGAGUGAUGUAUGUAGCAUGCUGUGAAGCGCCUGUUCUAGUUCUUAACUCAUCAGUAUUACGGAGUUACCCUUGCGUUCCUUGGUACUUUAUAUUCAAUGUAAUCAGAAGCUGUGAUGUAUCCCCUUCCUAGUCCCAUGCUUUGUUGCUGUAAAUUUCCUUAUGAAGCACGUGACUUUGGACUCAUGUAAGGUGGAUGAUCUUGAAGACUGCUACACACACACACACACACACACACACACCAGUCUCUUAUUGUGUAUGGUUUAAAGUUAGGGUAAGCUUUUCUCCAGUAGACUAUUGAUGCAGUUUAGGGUCCACAAGUUCAUUGUCAGGUGGCAGACUCCUUUUUAUAGGUUCAACUCUGAAAAUAGCAAGCUUUGUCAACAGCCACUUCACCCUUGUUCUAGCGAAGCAGACCCUGCUGUAAGUGUAGGCUAUGGUGGUUACCCAUAAUGCCCUCCACAUGCGUCGGCAGUUAUGAAGAUAACAGAACCCAUGAGAGCUUCUUGUAUGUAUAACUAGGCUUGAUUUGUGUUGUUUUGUUGCUGGUUUGGCAGUUUGACUAAGGCUAACCCAAAUGGGCCAGCUCGUGUAAUACUCUAGUGGUUUAAUGCCUCUCUUCUCGUUCUGCUGCUGUCGUUUUGGUUUUUGAGGGAUGGGUAAUAUUAUUUGAACAGAUAAAGAAGGAACUGUUACUGAAUCAAGACAAACACACCUGAAGUAAAGGAGCUGUGUAUUAACCUGUUAACAAUUCAUAACUGCACUUUCUAUGACAUUUUGAAAAUCUAUUUAUAGGUACAGAACAAUGGGUUUUGUUAAACUGUAUCACGUUUAUACCUGCAGAAUUUAUUUCAUUGUUAUUAGUAGGAAUUUUAUUGGUUCAAUAAAAUUGACAAAGCUGA